CUUUUGGACACAGAUGGAGGGACACCAUUUGUUGCUAUGCACAGAUACGCUCCCAUCUCGUUUCGGCUAACUUUUGUCAGAGGCAGGACCUCUCCAUCGUACACUAAAACUGAUUUUGGCAGUUCAGAGCCGGAUGUCAAAGUAUAGUCCCCCAAACCAACACCCAGCAACAACAACAGAAUAAACCAAAGUCAUAACGUGAAAGGACCAUCCAUAUUGUAGGAAGUAGUAUAUCCAGCCAAAGUCCAGGUCAAAAUAUUAUGGCCAAUUUCCUCGCCAUCCUCACGUCUCCAGAUAAUUUUUGGCGCUGGGAAGCCAUCCGCCCGACAUGUCAUGUUGAUAUUUUGAUUCUCUCGAACUGCUACCGAUGAUGG
Episyrphus balteatus (marmalade hoverfly) is the source of this 374-nucleotide long non-coding RNA. RefSeq lists it as uncharacterized. The transcript is spliced from 3 exons. The record is from RefSeq and is a predicted model, not a curated record. Lineage: Eukaryota; Metazoa; Arthropoda; Insecta; Diptera; Syrphidae.